CAUUCAAAUGAAGGUGAAAACUUGGCAUCUGAAGUGCCAAAAGCCUCUGAAGAUCUGGCCACCGACUUUGCCUGACUGAGCUCUGUUACUGAGGAAACCAGCAGGCAUGAAGCUGUCAGAGCACAGACUUCCACACGGCUGCAAACUACCAUGGCGACCAAGGCAUAUAGUGACAGAACUGAUGGCUCAUGAUCACUGGAUAUGGAAGAAAAGAAGGAAAGAAAGAAGGAAGGAAGG
Molecule: long non-coding RNA, 237 nt
Filed under: Dromaius novaehollandiae (emu)
Lineage: Eukaryota; Metazoa; Chordata; Aves; Casuariiformes; Dromaiidae
Description: lncRNA (ENSDNVG00000015464.1)
Source: RNAcentral